Molecule: ribosomal RNA, 263 nt
Filed under: uncultured archaeon
Lineage: Archaea
Description: partial 16S ribosomal RNA
Rfam family: Archaeal small subunit ribosomal RNA
Source: RNAcentral
UAGCCGUAAACGAUACUCGCUAGGUGUCGGCCACGGUGCGACCGUUGUCGGUGCCGUAGGGAAGCCGUGAAGCGAGCCACCUGGGAAGUACGGCCGCAAGGCUGAAAACUUAAAGGAAUUGGGCGGGGGAGCACCACAACGGGUGGAGCUUGCGGUUUAAUUGGAUUCAACGCCGGAAAUCUUACCGGGACCGACAGCAACAUGAAGGCCAGGCUGAAGACUUUGCCGGAUUAGCUGAGAGGUGGUGCAUGGCGUAGACGUCU